RNAcentral lists this ribosomal RNA (483 nucleotides) under uncultured Campylobacterota bacterium. RNAcentral describes it as "bacterial SSU rRNA". It matches the Rfam family "Bacterial small subunit ribosomal RNA", at positions 79 to 583 of the family's 1533-position model. Lineage: Bacteria; Pseudomonadati; Campylobacterota. The record is from RNAcentral.
CUUGCUAGGUGGAUUAGUGGCGCACGGGUGAGUAAUAUAUAGAUAACGUGCCUCUUAGUCUGGGAUAGCCAUUGGAAACGAUGAUUAAUACUAGAUAUUCCUUCUAACAAUAAUGUUAGUCGGGAAAGUUUUUCGCUAAGAGAUCGGUCUAUAUCCCAUCAGCUAGUUGGUAGUGUAAGAGACUACCAAGGCAAUGACGGGUAGCGGGUUUGAGAGGAUGAUCCGCCACACUGGUACUGAGACACGGACCAGACUCCUACGGGAGGCAGCAGUGAGGAAUAUUGCACAAUGGAGGAAACUCUGAUGCAGCAACGCCGCGUGGAGGAUGACGCAUUUCGGUGUGUAAACUCCUUUUAUAUGUCAAGAAAAUGACGGUAGCAUAUGAAUAAGCACCGGCUAACUCCGUGCCAGCAGCCGCGGUAAUACGGAGGGUGCAAGCGUUAUUCGGAAUCACUGGGCGUAAAGGACGCGUAGGCGGGAUGC